GUCCGAUGGCAGAUGAUCGCUGGCGAGCCGGUUUGGCUUGCUGGAGGAAAGUCCGAACACCAUACGGCAGCAUGCCGCGUAGAAUACGCGGGCGACAUUCGCGAAAGCAAACGUUGACGGACAGUGUCACAGAAAAGACACCGCCGGUUCUUUGAAAGAAGCGCAGGCAAGGGUGAAAAGGCGAGGUAAGAGCUCACCGCUCGCGGAGUAAUUCGCGAGGCACGAAAAACCCCAUGCGGUGCAAGACAAAACAGAGGAAGGGCAGCCGGCCCGAUAAAUCCUCGGGUAUGGUCGCACCACUGCGAAUGAAAAUUCGCCGGGCUCUCGGAGAAAUCCGGGAGAGAUAAAUGAUCAUCCGCGGUCGAGAAAUCGACCGGACAGAAUUCGGCUUAUCGCCAUCGAAAAUAU
RNAcentral lists this RNase P RNA (408 nucleotides) under Verrucomicrobiota bacterium. Its description in RNAcentral is "Verrucomicrobia bacterium RNase P RNA component class A". It matches the Rfam family "Bacterial RNase P class A". From Rfam's summary of the family: Ribonuclease P (RNase P) is a ubiquitous endoribonuclease, found in archaea, bacteria and eukarya as well as chloroplasts and mitochondria. Lineage: Bacteria; Pseudomonadati; Verrucomicrobiota. The record is from RNAcentral.